This 209-nucleotide unclassified non-coding RNA is filed under the name Bombus terrestris (buff-tailed bumblebee). Its description in RNAcentral is "misc RNA ENSBTSG00005021726.1". The record is from RNAcentral. Lineage: Eukaryota; Metazoa; Arthropoda; Insecta; Hymenoptera; Apidae.
GUCAUCGUCUUGGAGUCAGUCUUAGAGAAGCCCUGUGCCUGAGCGAACGUGUCAGUGUGCUAUCAAAAAUAUAUUAAAACGUACAGAAAGCUUCCCGUUGACCGUGGAUUCGUUACAGAACCCAAGAAUAAUAUUAAAAGCAUUUGUUUACUUAUUAAUCGUCUCGCGCUCGAAAUCCAAACGACAAUUCGACAAAUAUAAACAAAGGA